AAAAAAUAUAGAGAGAGAAGAAUCAACCCAAGGCAAAAGAAUCCAAAAAGUUGUAUGGAAUGCAGCUGCUGAGAAAAAGUUAAAAAAAUGGCUCAUAUUUGCUUUUGAAUGGCUUUUCAUAUAUUCUUUAUGUUUUGUCAUGAAUUUAAAAGUAAACUAAGUUACUAUUGCAAAUAUUCCAUUGUUUUGGAGAUUUGCACAUCAUACAUUUAAUAUAACAAGAAAGCAUAUGUUGGUUAAGAAUUUAUGUGGCUUGAGAGAGGUGGAUCUAUUUUAUCACUGUUAUUGAGUAACAGUGCAACAUGUUAUCAAUUUACUUUUUCACAACUGAGUUUGUCAAACUAUAUUUUCAUUUGUGAGACUUGUCGGAUGCAACAAAACUUAAUAAUGAGAAUUGUGGAUAAACUAAAUAAAUCCAAUUUUGAGAAAAAUAAUCUUAUUGCCUUUGGUACCUGCUACAACAUUGAGAUGAAACUUGCAAGCCAAAUUGGUGGUUUAUUACUAGAAAUGUUUUUACAUUCUCUGAAAUCUCACUUGGGAAUUUGGGACUCCCAUGUUUGGCUGAAGAUUUAGAAGAAAAAAACCGGUCAAAAUGAAAAUAACAUAUCCAGGAAUUUGAAAAUGUGAAGGUGGGAAUGUUGGAUUCUCACCUCUUUAGAUGAGAAUGUUAGUUUUUGGUGUUAAUUGAUUUUGUAUCCUUCUCUUUCCAUUCUCUUAUUGUUUUUUAACCGAGGGUAGUUUUUAACAGUCAGUCACAUUCAUACGAACGUUUAAUAUCUAACCAAAUAUGAGCCAAAUACGGGAAUGUAUCUUACCCCGGGCAUUACAUCUCUUGACCAGUAGUCACUUUCUUGGGGAUGUGCUAAAAAAGCAUUCCUUAUACCAAACAGUAAACAUCACCAUAGAGCAUGUGGUGAGCUCAGAACUGGUAUCAGGAUUUAAUAUUGAGGUCUAGUCCUUAUUUUGCAGACUAAAAUUCUUCUUGGUGAUUUUGGUGCUAACAUGAUCAAAAUAUCUUCCCGCGAAUGCUAACUAACUUAAAAAGAAAGAGUCCUUCAGUGAUUGAAUUAUCUAAUAGACAUUAAACUAUAAUUAGUAUGAUUGCAUUUUUAAUUACAAUACCUGGGCUAGUAGUGCAUGAUUUCUUGCAAACAAUUUGCUGUAAUUCUAAAGUUAUUCAAAUUCUGAUGGAUGCAAUCUGUAUCACGAGUUUAAACUUCGAUUCUGAUUCUAGAAUCCCAGCAGAAAAUGAUAUUGUCGUGGAUAUAAAUUCUGGUCACAUCAGUGCUGUAUAAAACCAAUGCUUUUGCAUUUGUGAGUUGUUUUGCAGAUUCUAGCUACUCAUAGAUGAUUAUCCUGUUUUUAACAUUAGUUGAAGUGAAAAUGAAGUACAGUUGUUGAUAUUUGAUAGAUCUCACUUUUUGAAAAUCCACAGAAAAUGUGUUUUUGCAAUUUUAUUCUGCAGCCCACUGGCUAUCACGAAUCGUUUUUUCUUGUAUGAUGAUGGAAUCGAAAGGUUUGAACAAUUUUAUUGAAUUCAGAAAUGAUAGAACUGUAAGAAAUUUUCACCAAACAAAUGGCUAACUCCCUACCAAGCUAUGCUGCUCAGAAAUAUAUAUGCCCAUAGCUAGAAGCAGAGAGGAAUAAGCAAUGUUGUGAAAUCUCUUUUUUAUUAAAAUAGGUGAUGAUGAAAGGGGUAUUAAAUUUUACAUUUACUAACCAACCACUCCUUUCAUCUCUACUCUCCGGUGUAUUAAAUUUUACAUUUACUAA
Molecule: long non-coding RNA, 1773 nt
Filed under: Lupinus mutabilis
Lineage: Eukaryota; Viridiplantae; Streptophyta; Magnoliopsida; Fabales; Fabaceae
Description: partial ncRNA
Source: RNAcentral